RNAcentral lists this ribosomal RNA (477 nucleotides) under uncultured bacterium. RNAcentral's name for it is "partial 16S ribosomal RNA". It matches the Rfam family "Bacterial small subunit ribosomal RNA", at positions 30 to 507 of the family's 1533-position model. The record is from RNAcentral.
AUUGAACGCUGGCGGCAUGCCUUACACAUGCAAGUCGAACGGUAACAGGUUAAGCUGACGCGUGGCGAACGGGUGAGUAAUACAUCGGAACGUGCCCAGUAGUGGGGGAUAGCCCGGCGAAAGCCGGAUUAAUACCGCAUACGACCUAAGGGUGAAAGGGGGGGAUCGCAAGACCUCUCGCUAUUGGAGCGGCCGAUGUCAGAUUAGCUAGUUGGUGGGGUAAAAGCUCACCAAGGCGACGAUCUGUAGCUGGUCUGAGAGGACGACCAGCCACACUGGGACUGAGACACGGCCCAGACUCCUACGGGAGGCAGCAGUGGGGAAUUUUGGACAAUGGGCGCAAGCCUGAUCCAGCCAUGCCGCGUGCGGGAAGAAGGCCUUCGGGUUGUAAACCGCUUUUGCCAGGGAAGAAAUCCUUUGGGUUAAUACCUCGGGGGGAUGACGGUACCUGAAGAAUAAGCACCGGCUAACUACGUG